This is a non-coding RNA of Pelobates cultripes (western spadefoot toad), 1121 nucleotides long. NCBI's taxonomy places the organism in Eukaryota, Metazoa, Chordata, Amphibia, Anura, Pelobatidae. The record is from the annotation of a GenBank genome assembly.
CUGAGAUUAGGAGCACUCUCUUAAAGGAAGUGCUCCUAAUCUCAGCUCGUUACCUGUAUAAAAGACACCUGUCCAUAGAAGCAAUCAGUCAAUCAGAUUCCAAACUCUCCACCAUUGCCAAGACCAAAGUGCUGUCCAAGGAUGUCAGGGACAAGAUUGUAGACCUACACAAGGCUGGAAUGGGCUACAAGACCAUUGCCAAGCAGCUUGGUGAGAAGAUGACAACAGCUGGUGCGAUUAUUCGCAACUGGAAGAAACCUAAAAUAACUGUCAGUCUCCCUCAGUCUGGUGUUCCAUGCAAGAUCUCACCUCGUGGAGUUUCAAUGAUCAUGAGAACGGUUAGGAAUCAACCCAGAACUACAGGGGAGGAUCUUGUUAAUGAGCUCAAGGCAGCUGGGACCAUAGUCGCUAAGAAAACAAUUGGUAAUACACCAUGACGUGAAGGACUAAAAUCUUGCAGCGCCUGCAAGGUCCCCAUCCUCAAAAAAGCACAUGUGCAGGCCCAUCUGAAGUUUGCCAAUGAACAUCUGAAUGAUUCAGAGGAGAACUGUGUGAAAGUGUUGUGGUCAGAUGAGACCAAAAUCAAGCUCUUUGGCAUCAGCUCAACUCACAGUGUUUGGAGGAAGGGGAAUGCUGCCUAUGACCCUAAGAACACCAUCCCCAGUGUCAAACAUGGAGGUGGAAACAUUAUGCUUUGGGGUUGUUUUUCUAAUAUGGGGACAGGACAAUUGCACGGCAUCAAAGGGAUGAUGGACGGGGCCAUGUACCAUCAAAUCUCUGGUGAGAACCUCCUUCACUCAGCCAGGGCAUUGGAAAUGGGUUGAGGAUGGGUAUUCCAGCAUGACAAUGACCCACAACACACAGCCAAGGCCACAAAGGAGUGGCUCAAGAAGAAGCACAUUAAGGUCCCGGAGUGGCCUAGCCAGUGUCCAGACCUAAUCCCAUAGCUGAAGGUUCGAGUUGCCAAGCGUCAACUUCAAAACCUUAAUGACAAAAUCCCUCCUGAGAUGUAUGCAAACCUGGUGGCCAACUACAACAAACCUCUGACCUCUGUGAUUGCCAACAAGGGUUUUGCCACCAAGUACUAAGUCAAAGGGGUCAAAUACUUAUUUUACUCAAUG